Molecule: ribosomal RNA, 468 nt
Filed under: uncultured bacterium
Lineage: Bacteria
Description: partial 16S ribosomal RNA
Rfam family: Bacterial small subunit ribosomal RNA
Source: RNAcentral
GACGAACGCUGGCGGCGUGCUUAAUACAUGCAAGUCGAACGGAAAGGCCCUGCUUUUGUGGGGUGCUCGAGUGGCGAACGGGUGAGUAACACGUGAGUAACCUGCCCUUGACUUUGGGAUAACUUCAGGAAACUGGGGCUAAUACCGGAUAGGAGCUCCUGCUGCAUGGUGGGGGUUGGAAAGUUUCGGCGGUUGGGGAUGGACUCGCGGCUUAUCAGCUUGUUGGUGGGGUAGUGGCUUACCAAGGCUUUGACGGGUAGCCGGCCUGAGAGGGUGACCGGCCACAAUGGGACUGAGAUACGGCCCAGACUCCUACGGGAGGCAGCAGUGGGGAAUAUUGCACAAUGGGCGGAAGCCUGAUGCAGCAACGCCGCGUGCGGGAUGACGGCCUUCGGGUUGUAAACCGCUUUCGCCUGUGACGAAGCGUGAGUGACGGUAAUGGGUAAAGAAGCACCGGCUAACUACGUG